AAUCUCCAAUUUUGUAUAACUUGUUUGUCUUUAAAGCAGUGUUCAAGAAAUCGUUAGACGCUUAGCGGACGGUGAACCAAUGCCUAGCGCCUAAGACGUUUAAUCGGACCUAAGCGAUUUUAGGCAGUUAAAGCGUUUAUAAUAUAAACAUUAUAAAUAUGAUUUUAUACAUAAAUAUUAUAUAAAAUAU
This 190-nucleotide small RNA is filed under the name Arabidopsis thaliana (thale cress). Its description in RNAcentral is "ATSL260680". The record is from RNAcentral. Lineage: Eukaryota; Viridiplantae; Streptophyta; Magnoliopsida; Brassicales; Brassicaceae.